This 411-nucleotide long non-coding RNA is filed under the name Mus caroli (Ryukyu mouse). Its description in RNAcentral is "lncRNA (MGP_CAROLIEiJ_G0002741.1)". The record is from RNAcentral. Lineage: Eukaryota; Metazoa; Chordata; Mammalia; Rodentia; Muridae.
ACAGGCACUUGGUGCCUGCUGGCCUCUGCUCUCCAACCCUCUGGGCGAGCAAUGGGCUCAACAUGUUCCUGAAGCUCCAACAGGGUAGUGAGCCCGAAGCUGGCUGCUACUCACCCCCACCGUGGACCAUGGCCCCCAGGAUGGAAGGAAACCAAGAGGUCUCACUGUUGCUGGCCUGAAAGUCGCGCUGCAGAUCAGUGAAGAAGACACCGAUGCAGGAGGAUCAGACCGUGGGCCGGCAAAAUGCUGGUGUUUCCCAAAGGGGACAUGGACCUGUCUCCCUCCAAACUUCCAUUAUGAGCUGCCUGUGUACCAGCACCAACUUUCCUACCACUGGGAGAUCAACCUGAGCUCACCACCAGCGAGCAAGCUGGCACAGAAGGCACAGAUGCCAGCUCAGCAAGGACAGCC